Molecule: ribosomal RNA, 440 nt
Filed under: uncultured bacterium
Lineage: Bacteria
Description: partial 16S ribosomal RNA
Rfam family: Bacterial small subunit ribosomal RNA
Source: RNAcentral
CCUACGGGUGGCAGCAGUGGGGAAUAUUGCACAAUGGGGGAAACCCUGAUGCAGCGACGCCGCGUGAGUGAAGAAGUAUUUCUGUAUGUAAAGCUCUAUCAGCAGGGAAGAAAAUGACGGUACCUGACUCAGAAGCCCCGUCUAACUACGUGCCAGCAGCCGCGGUAAUACGGAGGGUGCAAGCGUUAUCCGGAUUUACUGGGUGUAAAGGGAGCGUAGACGGCCAAACAAGUCAGAGGUGAAAGCACAGGGCUCAACCCUGGGACUGCUUUUGAAACUGGCGGGCUUGAGUGCAGGCGAGGUAAGCGGAAUUCCUGGUGUAGCGGUGAAAUGCGUAGAUAUUAGGCGGAACACCAGUGGCGAAGGCGGCUUACUGGACUGUAACUGACGUUGAGGCUCGAAAGCGUGGGGAGCAAACAGGAUUAGAUACCCUUGUAGUC